This 1043-nucleotide ribosomal RNA is filed under the name bacterium HYX-A2. RNAcentral's name for it is "bacterial SSU rRNA". It matches the Rfam family "Bacterial small subunit ribosomal RNA", at positions 28 to 1035 of the family's 1533-position model. The record is from RNAcentral.
GACGAACGCUGGCGGCGUGCCUAAUACAUGCAAGUCGAACGAACUCUGGUAUUGAUUGGUGCUUGCAUCAUGAUUUACAUUUGAGUGAGUGGCGAACUGGUGAGUAACACGUGGGAAACCUGCCCAGAAGCGGGGGAUAACACCUGGAAACAGAUGCUAAUACCGCAUAACAACUUGGACCGCAUGGUCCGAGUUUGAAAGAUGGCUUCGGCUAUCACUUUUGGAUGGUCCCGCGGCGUAUUAGCUAGAUGGUGGGGUAACGGCUCACCAUGGCAAUGAUACGUAGCCGACCUGAGAGGGUAAUCGGCCACAUUGGGACUGAGACACGGCCCAAACUCCUACGGGAGGCAGCAGUAGGGAAUCUUCCACAAUGGACGAAAGUCUGAUGGAGCAACGCCGCGUGAGUGAAGAAGGGUUUCGGCUCGUAAAACUCUGUUCUUAAAGAAGAACAUAUCUGAGAGUAACUGUUCAGGUAUUGACGGUAUUUAACCAGAAAGCCACGGCUAACUACGUGCCAGCAGCCGCGGUAAUACGUAGGUGGCAAGCGUUGUCCGGAUUUAUUGGGCGUAAAGCGAGCGCAGGCGGUUUUUUAAGUCUGAUGUGAAAGCCUUCGGCUCAACCGAAGAAGUGCAUCGGAAACUGGGAAACUUGAGUGCAGAAGAGGACAGUGGAACUCCAUGUGUAGCGGUGAAAUGCGUAGAUAUAUGGAAGAACACCAGUGGCGAAAGCGGCUGUCUGGUCUGUAACUGACGCUGAGGCUCGAAAGUAUGGGUAGCAAACAGGAUUAGAUACCCUGGUAGUCCAUACCGUAAACGAUGAAUGCUAAGUGUUGGAGGGUUUCCGCCCUUCAGUGCUGCAGCUAACGCAUUAAGCAUUCCGCCUGGGGAGUACGGCCGCAAGGCUGAAACUCAAAGGAAUUGACGGGGGCCCGCACAAGCGGUGGAGCAUGUGGUUUAAUUCGAAGCUACGCGAAGAACCUUACCAGGUCUUGACAUACUAUGCAAAUCUAAGAGAUUAGACGUUCCCUUCGGGGACAUGGAUAC